AAUAGUUUUAUGCCACAUCAGUACUCUUAUCCUGAAUUUCAGGAUUUUAUCCUGAAAAAAAUCAAAUCCAAAUUAAAAUACUGAAAUUCAAAAUAAAGUCCUGAAAUUUAGGAUAAGAAUACUGAUGUGGCAUAAAACUAUU
This 142-nucleotide microRNA precursor is filed under the name Gossypium arboreum. RNAcentral's name for it is "MIR7504 microRNA precursor family". It matches the Rfam family "MIR7504 microRNA precursor family". The record is from Rfam by way of RNAcentral. Lineage: Eukaryota; Viridiplantae; Streptophyta; Magnoliopsida; Malvales; Malvaceae.